GAGCACUGGGUGUUGUGCACAAACAAUGAAUCAUGGAACACCACAUCUAAAACUAAUGAUGUAAUGUAGGGGAUUAACAUAAGAAUAAAAAAAAGAAGAAGAAAAGCACACUGGUAUAAGAUUGAGAUUUGGGUUUUCUAUGUUAAAAUGACAAGGUUUUCUUGGAUUGUUAGUGUACUCUUUUUUUCUUUCUUAAGAUUGUAUUUAUUUAUUUGACAGAGAGAGACACAGCGAGAGAGGGAACACAAGCAGGGGGAGCGGGAGAGGGAGAAGCAGGCUCCCGGCCAAGCAGAGAGCCCGAUGUGGGGCUCGAUCCCAAGACCCUGGGAUCAUGACCUGAGCCGAAGGCCGACAGACGCUUGACGACUGAGCCACCCAGGCGCUCCUCCGAGAUUUUAUUUUUUAAAUAAUCUCUACACUGAACGUGGGGCUCGAACUCACAACCCUGAGAUCAAGAGUCGUGCUCUCUACCGACUGAGCCAGCCAGGUGCCCCUGGACUGUCAUCUCGAAGAGACACAUGCGUAGACUCAGAUAUGGCCCUGCUACCAAAUACUGGCUGUCUCUGCAGAAGUCUGGACUCAAGGUCAACUGAUAAUGGCUGCAGCCUAUGAAGAAGCGAGGUCCUGAUUCCUUACCUGAGAAAAGGAGCCUAAGACCCCAUCCAGGUUGUACCAGCUCUCAGAGCAUGCCCACAGCCUCUUCUCCUUGUCCUCAGAUAACCUCCUGACAUCAGGGACUCAGUUUUGCCUCAUUCAGAUGUCAGGUCUCCACCCCGAAGUAAACAUGGGAAUCUAUGAGAAAUUAGAUCCCAUCCAGCAAGAGCUGAAUCCGAGUCCUCUGCUCACCCCACGACGGAAAAGAAUAUGCACAGGCCUGCAUCCCUCUUCUCCUUCUCCACCAUGUCGGAAGAAAAGGGUCUCUAUCGCCUCUAUACAUAAGCAUGAAACGGGCCCGGAGAGGACGACUUUGUUUCCUGAGUUUUGUUUUGUUUUCUUCGAAAUCACCAUAGCGAUUCUAAUUCCUUUUGCCUGUCUGCUUGUGUAUGUAAUCUGUACACCCAUCCAGUGCGGUGCUGGAACUCACGACGCCCGCCGAUCAAGAGUCGCGGUCGCGUGGGCCUCCUCCGACCGAGCCAGCCAGGUGCCCUGAAAUACGUGUACUUGAAAAACCAAUGUGAAGCCUGCACCCGUGAACUUUUUUUUUUAAAGAUUUUAUUUAUUUAUUUGAGACAGAGAGAAUGAGAGAGACAGAGAGCACAUGAGAGGGGGGAAGGGUCAGAGGGAGAAGCAGACUCCCUGCCGAGCAGGGAGCCCGAUGCGGGACUCGAUCCCGGGACUCCGGGAUCAUGACCUGAGCCGAAGGCAGUCGCUUAACCAACUGAGCCACCCAGGCGCCCUUUUUUUUCUUUUCUUUUCUUUUUUUUUUUUAAUAGAUGCACCCGUGAAGUGUUUACUGCGAAACCUUCUUUUGAUCGUCGCACUCUUGAGUGGAGGCCGUACCAGUAAAGAACGUAGUUUAGCCAACUCAGGAAGAGAUCAGCUUUAAAGGAAAACCUUCUUUUCGAGUUUGUGAUGUCUGGUCCUUUCUCUCAACUCGAUCGAUGUCCAGCCUUCAGAGCCACAUUAUUUGCUUGGUCUCUCUCUCUCUCUCUCUCUCUCUCUCUCUCUCUCUCUCUCUCUCUCUCGUCUGUGUUUCCUCGUGUACUUUCCUGAUGCUCAGGAUUUAUGGUUUAGAGAGAACAGUUUUCAGCCUGGUGUGUGUGUGGGGGGGGGGGGGAUGUUGUGAAGUGGGAUCAGGGAUUCACGCGGGUAAGGAGGAGGCAAGGAGAAAGGCUUGGUUGGGAAGGAAACCAUUAAAGGUCCAUGUUGAAAUGGUGAAGUUUAUUUUAUUUAUUUAUUUAUUUAUUUAUUUAUUUACUUUUUAAAGAUUUUAUUUAU
Mirounga angustirostris (Northern elephant seal) is the source of this 1938-nucleotide long non-coding RNA. RefSeq lists it as uncharacterized. The record is from RefSeq and is a predicted model, not a curated record. The transcript has 4 exons. Lineage: Eukaryota; Metazoa; Chordata; Mammalia; Carnivora; Phocidae.